This 491-nucleotide ribosomal RNA is filed under the name Physconelloides aff. anolaimae 1 JDW-2010. RNAcentral describes it as "Physconelloides anolaimae 1 JDW-2010 partial 16S ribosomal RNA". It matches the Rfam family "Bacterial large subunit ribosomal RNA", at positions 1833 to 2595 of the family's 2925-position model. Lineage: Eukaryota; Metazoa; Arthropoda; Insecta; Psocodea; Philopteridae. The record is from RNAcentral.
GCCUUAUAUUUUUUAUUUAAGGUAUUACCUGCUCAAUGCGAUUAGUAAAUAGCCGCAGUAUAUUGACUGUGCAAAGGUAGCAUAAUAAAUUGGCCUUUAAUUGGGGUCUGGAAUGAAUGGUUUGACAAGGAUUUAACUGUCUCUAUUUAAGAAUUUUUGAAAUUAAAUUGUUUGUAAAAAUGCACACAUAGAAGAGAGGGACGAGAAGACCCUAUAGAUCUUUAAAAAUGUUUUCAGUGAAGUAUAUUUAUUGAAGAUUUUUUUUAUUUGGGGAAAAUCCUGAAAAUUAAAUUUUGGUUAAUUAGAAAAUUUAAUAAUUGAUUAUUUGAUCCGUAAAAUUAUGAAAAAAUGAAAAAGUUACCUUAGGGAUAACAGGACAAUGAUUUUCUUAAAGGCCUUAUUUUUGAAAGCGUUUGUUACCUCGAUGUUGAAUUAAGUUAUCUAAUAAUAAGGAGAAAUAUAUAAAGUUGGUCUGUUCGACCAUUAAAAAC